RNAcentral lists this ribosomal RNA (465 nucleotides) under Phoma sp. 185.II. Its description in RNAcentral is "eukaryotic LSU rRNA". The stretch from base 116 to 269 matches the Rfam family "5.8S ribosomal RNA". The record is from RNAcentral. Lineage: Eukaryota; Fungi; Ascomycota; Dothideomycetes; Pleosporales; Didymellaceae.
CUUACCCAUGUCUUUUGAGUACCUUACGUUUCCUCGGCGGGUCCGCCCGCCGAUUGGACAANACUUUAAACCAUUUGCAGUUGCAAUCAGCGUCUGAAAAAANCUUAAUAGUUACAACUUUCAACAACGGAUCUCUUGGUUCUGGCAUCGAUCAAGAACGCAGCGAAAUGCGAUAAGUAGUGUGAAUUGCAGAAUUCAGUGAAUCAUCGAAUCUUUGAACGCACAUUGCGCCCCUUGGUAUUCCAUGGGGCAUGCCUGUUCGAGCGUCAUUUGUACCUUCAAGCUCUGCUUGGUGUUGGGUGUUUGUCUCGCCUCUGCGUGUAGACUCGCCUCAAAACNAAUUGGCAGCCGGCGUAUUGAUUUCGGAGCGCNAGUACAUCUCGCGNCUUUGNCACUCAUACACGACGAGCGUCNCAAAANGUACAUUUUUNACACUCUUGACCUCGGAUCAGGUAGGGAUACCCG